GUUUCUCUAAAAUACAAAGCUAGACCUGAUAUCAGACCCUAGGAAAACUCAUUAACUAUCUUCACAGCCAACUUCCAGCCUUCUCUUCAUCGUGCCCUACUUCUCAGUAACGGCUUCACCUCACUUAAAUCUGAAGCCAUUAAACCUUGCAAUCAAUCUCUGUUAACUCGAUCCCCACUAUGUCUCAUUACUUCAAAACCUUCAUCCUCUUCAGCUUCUUCGCGAUUUCGAACCUAGAAAUAGGCAUCUCUGGCUUGAUGGUUCCCGCAGAUUCAUCGCUCCUCUCUACCCUAAAAUCAGACACACUCGAGCAAGAACGAUGGCCACUUCCAAGAUCUCUCUUUCCAAGCUGAAGCCAGGGCGUGUACUCGGACCGUUGUCACACGCCUACUCUGAUUUGAUUUUGCAAAGAAAGGAAUGUCAAGAAGGCUUUGUGAACUAAUGGGCAUCUGAUAUGCUUGUCUUUGAUGAUCAGUCCUCUCUCAUCCAAACAUUUGUAUAUGUUCAUCGCCUAAACAUAUUCUGAGAUCUUCUUAGGGAGGUAACUAUGAACGAGCUUAAUGGCUUCGAUGUGGCGAGAAGCAACAAUCAUUUCAAGAUUUGUAAUUCCGUUGUUGUAGCCAUCCGUCUUAACGAGUUUAGAAAGAUGGUUGAAGUGCCAGCGGUUGCUAAUCCAAUCCCUAGUGAGAUGUCCAGGUUCCGAAAUGUUGAGCAAAUCAUGUCUUUAGCUAAUACUAACGUCGAGCUGCCAUACAUCAUUGGUGAGGUAUGCGAUAUCAGGAUCACAGUCAGACAAUGGUUAACAUCCGAGUAUAUAAGGAUGCAACUUUGUGCGUAAGCGUUUUUGACAGUGUUGCUGAGCUCCUCCACAAGAGGCUGGAAGCUGGUGUUGUCCAUCCAAAAGUGAUGGUAGCAACCAACAUCAACCCCAAGUUUGUAGGAGGUCGACUUUACCUCAAUGCUUUUUUGGGACAUUUUUUUAUUUUGACAAUGAGGUGGCCGCAAGCCGGAAUCUAUUUGAGGAGUACUUAAAUUAUCUCUCAUACUUUUAAAGCGAGGUGUACACAUGUCGUUGUCCAUAUUCUUAGCACAUACCAUUUCCAGGUUGUCUUCCAAACCCGACUCGAUGUUUUGUUUGCUUCCUAUUAUAUGCUUCAUGUUACUAUGACUCUAUGUUUAUUUUGGUCGACAUAUACUACAUAAUACUCUAUAUUAUAAUCUCUGUAGCGAAUAAGUUUGUCUCUCACUGCUUAUAACAUGUAAACUUGGUUAUAAUAUUUCCUUUUACGGUUUUCACAUGAUAUCUGCAAAUGGUGAUAGGAGGUCCUCCACAGCUUCAUUCUCAGUUCUUGUGAUGCACACGUAAGAUGGAUUGAAUAACAAGUACGAUGCUAAGAAUAUCAACAGCCUCAACUAAUGUUAUGAGAUGCAUAUGAGCUUCACAUAAUGACUCCAGUAGUACAUCAUGUGCAUUAUUUAAUCAAUCCAACCGGCGUUCACUGAAACUACUGAUUAUAUGUCGUCAAAUUAUUAAACCGUUAUCAAAGUUUCCAGUUUGUAAUACGCAUAGGCAAAA
Brassica oleracea var. oleracea is the source of this 1576-nucleotide long non-coding RNA. RefSeq lists it as uncharacterized. NCBI's taxonomy places the organism in Eukaryota, Viridiplantae, Streptophyta, Magnoliopsida, Brassicales, Brassicaceae. The transcript is spliced from 5 exons. The record is from RefSeq and is a predicted model, not a curated record.